CUACAAAACAAUGGUCUCCUUGGUUAAUGUGUGGCCUUCUAGUAAACGGUUGUUAGAAAGGACUUAAGCUGUUUUUAAUUAUAUUACCACUGUGCAGUAAUUUGACUUCAGCUGAGGACCACUUCAACUACCACUGAUGCUGAAGCCCCAACACCUGCUUCCUGUACCUUCUUCAGCCAGAACAGGCCAGCUUCAAACUCACAGAGAUCCACAUAGCUCUGCUUCCUAAGUGCUGGGAUUAAAGAGAGUUGACAGAAGAAACUUAAAGAAAGACAGCCAUGCUUUGGCUUAUGACUUCACAGGAUUUUAGUCCAUCAUAGUGCUACAAGCAUAAUUGAAAAGCAGCGUAGAGAAGUGAAGGCAUAAUCCUGGGAAAUGAACUUCUAAGAAGCAGACAUCCAUUUCCUGAAAGUGUCUACCCUGGGGAGUCCCUGAAGAGAGGAUAAAAUGGAGAUUAGAAAUACAAGCCUCAUGCUUGAAAGGAAUAGGGGACACAGCUGCUGACUUCAGCCCGCUCUUUCUUUUCAUGCUUCUUUGUUUGAUCUAAUUGUCUCAUUUCAAUUCUCUUUCAACACCACAAGAAGCAAGACUGCUGAUAGGGUCAGAUUAUGCUAGACACCACCCAUGACCAGAAGACCCUGUGAUGGGGUAGAAACACAGUGUUUACAGAAAGAAAAUAAAAGACUGUUUAUUCUUGACCAAAUAAUGAGUAAAC
Peromyscus eremicus (cactus mouse) is the source of this 715-nucleotide long non-coding RNA. RefSeq lists it as uncharacterized. The record is from RefSeq and is a predicted model, not a curated record. The transcript has 5 exons. NCBI's taxonomy places the organism in Eukaryota, Metazoa, Chordata, Mammalia, Rodentia, Cricetidae.